This 73-nucleotide transfer RNA is filed under the name Stegodyphus mimosarum. It matches the Rfam family "tRNA". Rfam says of the family: Transfer RNA (tRNA) molecules are approximately 80 nucleotides in length. Their secondary structure includes four short double-helical elements and three loops (D, anti-codon, and T loops). The record is from Rfam by way of RNAcentral. Lineage: Eukaryota; Metazoa; Arthropoda; Arachnida; Araneae; Eresidae.
GCUUUCGUGGUAUAGUAGUCAGCUCGCUCGACGCGUAAUCGAGAGGUCCGUGGUUCGAUUCCCGGAGAAGGCG